Molecule: ribosomal RNA, 503 nt
Filed under: uncultured bacterium
Lineage: Bacteria
Description: partial 16S ribosomal RNA
Rfam family: Bacterial small subunit ribosomal RNA
Source: RNAcentral
AUUGAACGCUGGCGGCAGGCUUAACACAUGCAAGUCGAGCGGGGUGAUGGUGCUUGCACUAUCACUUAGCGGCGGACGGGUGAGUAAUGCUUAGGAAUCUGCCUAUUAGUGGGGGACAACAUCUCGAAAGGGAUGCUAAUACCGCAUACGUCCUACGGGAGAAAGCAGGGGAUCACUUGUGACCUUGCGCUAAUAGAUGAGCCUAAGUCGGAUUAGCUAGUUGGUGGGGUAAAGGCCUACCAAGGCGACGAUCUGUAGCGGGUCUGAGAGGAUGAUCCGCCACACUGGGACUGAGACACGGCCCAGACUCCUACGGGAGGCAGCAGUGGGGAAUAUUGGACAAUGGGGGGAACCCUGAUCCAGCCAUGCCGCGUGUGUGAAGAAGGCCUUAUGGUUGUAAAGCACUUUAAGCGAGGAGGAGGCUCUUUUGGUUAAUACCCAAGAUGAGUGGACGUUACUCGCAGGAUAAGCGCCGGCUAACUCUGUGCCAGCCGCCGCGGUAA